RNAcentral lists this long non-coding RNA (409 nucleotides) under Homo sapiens (human). RNAcentral's name for it is "HSALNT0120613". The record is from RNAcentral. Lineage: Eukaryota; Metazoa; Chordata; Mammalia; Primates; Hominidae.
GUGGGGGAAAGCUAAAUCCACCUCCAGCACCCCCUGCGAGAUCACCUACCACAGAGCUUUCAAGCAAGAGCCAGCAGGCCACAGCCUGGACCCCGACGCAGCAGCCUGGAGGUCAACUGCGAAAUGGAAGCCUGCACAUCAUUGAUGACUUCGAGUCUAAAUUCACGUUCCAUUCUGUGGAAGACUUUCCCCCUCCGGAUGAAUAUAAACCAUGCCAGAAGAUUUACCCCAGCAAGAUCCCCAGAAGCCGUACACCUGGUCCCUGGCUCCAAGCGGAAGCAGUCGGGCAGAGCUCUGAUGACAUCAAAGGCAGAAAUUCUCAGUUAUCUCUAAAGACUCUUCGGUGAGAAGACAGAUGAAGCGAAGGUCCUGGGGUUCCAGGUUGCAGAACAACAUGUCAGACCCCACC